Molecule: ribosomal RNA, 497 nt
Filed under: uncultured bacterium
Lineage: Bacteria
Description: partial 16S ribosomal RNA
Rfam family: Bacterial small subunit ribosomal RNA
Source: RNAcentral
GAUGAACGCUGGCGGCGUGCCUAAUACAUGCAAGUCGAGCGAACAGACGAGGAGCUUGCUCCUCUGACGUUAGCGGCGGACGGGUGAGUAACACGUGGAUACCCUCCCUAUAAGACUGGGAUAACUUCGGGAAACCGGAGCUAAUACCGGAUAAUCUAUUGAACCGCAUGGUUCAAUAGUGAAAGACGGUUUUGCUGUCACUUAUCGAUGGAUCCGCGCCGCAUUAGCUAGUUGGUAAGGUAACGGCUUACCAAGGCGGCGAUGCGUAGACGACCCGAGAGGGGGAUCGGCGACACGGGAACGGGAACACGGACCAUACUCCUACGGGAGGGAGCAGUAGGGAAUCUUCCGCAAUGGGGGAAAGCCUGACGGAGCAACGCCGCGUGAGUGAUGAAGGUCUUCGGAUCGUAAAACUCUGUUAUUAGGGAAGAACAAAUGUGUAAGUAACUAUGCACGUCUUGACGGUACCGAAUCAGAAAGCCACGGCUAACUACGUG